Molecule: transfer RNA, 63 nt
Filed under: Labidostomis urticarum
Lineage: Eukaryota; Metazoa; Arthropoda; Insecta; Coleoptera; Chrysomelidae
Description: tRNA-Ala
Rfam family: tRNA
About the family: Transfer RNA (tRNA) molecules are approximately 80 nucleotides in length. Their secondary structure includes four short double-helical elements and three loops (D, anti-codon, and T loops).
Source: RNAcentral
GGAUAAUAGUUAAUUAUAACAUUUGAUUUGCAUUCAAAAAGUAUUGCUCAGCAAUUUAUCUUA